GACGAACGCUGGCGGCGUGCUUAACACAUGCAAGUCGAACGGAAAGGCCUGCUUUCCCUUGUGGAUUGCGGGUACUCGAGUGGCGAACGGGUGAGUAACACGUGAGUGAUCUGCCCCCAACUUGGGUAUAAGCCUGGGAAACUGGGUCUAAUUCCCGAUAGGACUGCAGGGUGGUGCCUGUGGUGGAAAACGAUUUUCUAGUGGUUGGGGAUGAGCUCGCGGCCUAUCAGCUUGUUGGUGGGGUAAUGGCCUACCAAGGCGGCGACGGGUAGCCGGCCUGAGAGGGGGGACGGCCACAUUGGGACUGAGAUACGGCCCAGACUCCUACGGGAGGCAGCAGUGGGGAAUAUUACACAAUGGGCGGAAGCCUGAUGCAGCGACGCCGCGUGGGGGAUGACGGCCUUCGGGUUGUAAACUCCUUUCGACCGCGAGGAAGCCACCUGGUUGGAAGGGUGGUGACGGUAGUGGUAGAAGAAGCACCGGCUAACUACGUG
RNAcentral lists this ribosomal RNA (494 nucleotides) under uncultured bacterium. RNAcentral's name for it is "partial 16S ribosomal RNA". It matches the Rfam family "Bacterial small subunit ribosomal RNA", at positions 28 to 507 of the family's 1533-position model. The record is from RNAcentral.